This 398-nucleotide ribosomal RNA is filed under the name uncultured bacterium. RNAcentral describes it as "bacterial SSU rRNA". It matches the Rfam family "Bacterial small subunit ribosomal RNA", at positions 30 to 426 of the family's 1533-position model. The record is from RNAcentral.
AUUGAACGCUGGCGGCAUGCCUUACACAUGCAAGUCGAACGGCAGCAUGGGUGCUUGCACCUGAUGGCGAGUGGCGAACGGGUGAGUAAUGCAUCGGAACGUACCCGGAAGUGGGGGAUAACGUAGCGAAAGUUACGCUAAUACCGCAUAUUCUGUGAGCAGGAAAGCGGGGGAUCGCAAGACCUCGCGCUUCCGGAGCGGCCGAUGUCGGAUUAGCUAGUUGGCGGGGUAAAGGUCCACCAAGGCAACGAUCCGUAGCGGGUCUGAGAGGAUGAUCCGCCACACUGGGACUGAGACACGGCCCAGACUCCUACGGGAGGCAGCAGUGGGGAAUUUUGGACAAUGGGCGCAAGCCUGAUCCAGCCAUGCCGCGUGAGUGAAGAAGGCCUUCGGGUUGU